GCACGCCGAAGGCCGAGCACGCCAGUCCGUGCUCAGACGUGACUCGCGAAGCAACCCUCAUUUUUUGACCGACCCCGUGCAUCGAGAAAUCCUCCAUUAGAUUUCCGUCUCCGAUAUCGACCGGUUUAUUGGUGUUGAGGUGCGUAAACCUAUGUCGCGUGCGCCGAUGUCGUUCUCGUUGGAGCCGCCCGAUACGUCGAUCAACUGUCGACAUUGACCUGUCAACAACGAAAAACCAAUAAAAGUUAAUAAAAGCGCGUGCCCGACUGAAUCGAAAAGUGUUUUCCAUUGGUGAACGAAGAGACAAAUGGAUUUCGUCGGAGGAAACGGCAGUGACAAACGACGAGGCCGACGGAGGGUCAAGCUCGCCCGAUGAAGAUGCCGCACGAGAUCGCGUCCGAGCACUCGUUUGAAACAAAACAAAAAAAAAAAAA
Acromyrmex echinatior (Panamanian leafcutter ant) is the source of this 434-nucleotide long non-coding RNA. RefSeq lists it as uncharacterized. The record is from RefSeq and is a predicted model, not a curated record. NCBI's taxonomy places the organism in Eukaryota, Metazoa, Arthropoda, Insecta, Hymenoptera, Formicidae.